RNAcentral lists this ribosomal RNA (497 nucleotides) under uncultured bacterium. RNAcentral describes it as "partial 16S ribosomal RNA". It matches the Rfam family "Bacterial small subunit ribosomal RNA", at positions 28 to 507 of the family's 1533-position model. The record is from RNAcentral.
GAUGAACGCUGGCGGCGUGCCUAAUACAUGCAAGUCGAGCGAACGGACGAGAAGCUUGCUUCUCUGAUGUUAGCGGCGGACGGGUGAGUAACACGUGGAUAACCUACCUAUAAGACUGGGAUAACUUCGGGAAACCGGAGCUAAUACCGGAUCAUAUUUUGUACCGCAUGGUUCAAAAGUGAAAGACGGUCUUGCUGUCACUUAUAGAUGGAUCCGCGCUGCAUUAGCUAGUUGGUAAGGUAACGGCUUACCAAGGCAACGAUGCAUAGCCGAUCUGAGAGGGUGAUCGGCCACACUGGAACUGAGACACGGUCCAGACUCCUACGGGAGGCAGCAGUAGGGAAUCUUGCGCAAUGGGCGAAAGCCUGACGGAGCAACGCCGCGUGAGUGAUGAAGGUCUUCGGAUCGUAAAACUCUGUUAUUAGGGAAGAACAGAUGUGUAAGUAACUGUGCACAUCUUGACGGUACCUAAUCAGAAAGCCACGGCUAACUACGUG